This 73-nucleotide ribosomal RNA is filed under the name Kocuria sp. JC486. Its description in RNAcentral is "partial 23S ribosomal RNA". Lineage: Bacteria; Bacillati; Actinomycetota; Actinomycetes; Micrococcales; Micrococcaceae. The record is from RNAcentral.
AUGUGGAAGCAACGACUGAAGAGUUGUGGAGCUGACUGGUACUAAUACACCGAAGAUCUACACACAACACAAC